This 390-nucleotide ribosomal RNA is filed under the name Triticum aestivum (bread wheat). Its description in RNAcentral is "partial small subunit ribosomal RNA". Lineage: Eukaryota; Viridiplantae; Streptophyta; Magnoliopsida; Poales; Poaceae. The record is from RNAcentral.
AUGACUUGGAAUGAUAUCCUUGGUACCAAGGAUUGUUUAGAGAUUACAUUGUUGUUUUCUAGCUUGGAGAAGCAACAUCAACUUGGGAUGCAGAUUCACCAAUAUAUGUAUAUGCGUCUCAUAGCGGGGAGCUCUUGCACGGAUAUCCUUGAAACGAGCCAAGAACCACUAAAUUUGUGUGCUCAGGAACAUGCAGAUCAUGACCAUAAUGUCACUUUGGAUGCUUCUCCCCAAGAUUUGAAUCUGGAGCCUGACGCAGGUGUUGCAGGGAUGGUUGGAUUUUUAUUGAUAAUGCAUCUGGAAUUAACUCACUCGGCUCUAACUCGGCUCUAUCUCUCUUGGGAAGGCAACCCCUUGAUAGUUUAUGAUUUUGGGUGCAUGUAUAGAUAG